Molecule: long non-coding RNA, 656 nt
Filed under: Triticum aestivum (bread wheat)
Lineage: Eukaryota; Viridiplantae; Streptophyta; Magnoliopsida; Poales; Poaceae
Description: long non-coding RNA (TAES_LNC008695)
Source: RNAcentral
UUAUUUCCCUCACAAACUCCUUGCGGCUGCAGCAGCUUCCAGAGCGCACGAACUUGCAGUCUUCAGCCACAAUCUGCAAGGAGAAAGAUUUUAGCAGGACAUAAUUUAAUUUUAACUCAGAUUUUCUUUCAGUGCGCGUACUCAAAGCAUGCUUGUAAUGUAACAUCUUUGGGUCAUAAAAAGGAAGAAUCUACUGUCGUGCUCCAUAGCAGCACCUCGACGGACGGCGGUGAAGAUCCACUGCAGCGCCUGUUGCCGGAUAUGCUCUCUGGACCACCUCCUUCCUCUCUCACUCUCUCUCUCUCUCUCUCUCACUCACUCUCUGAACACACACACACAGACGAACAAGGACGGGGAAGAGAUUUUGUGCAGUGCAAGUUCUGCUGCUUUUCUAUUUCUUUUAUCCUUUUAUUCAGUGAUCUAAAGACUUGCCACAAUGCUAGCAACAACCCCAUCAUGCCCGAGCCAUCCCAUGGGCGAAGUCGUGCAGCUGGCCUACUACCUAUUCGCCCAGAACACACCACAAUCGUGCCCUCGUGUGCUAACAAAAAAUUGAACUAAAAGUCUGAAUGUUUCUGAAACUACUGAAACUUCUGAAGAAAACUAACACCUACAGAAUGGCUGCCAUGGAGUGUUAUUGUGCACAACUGAAAUAC